This 87-nucleotide transfer RNA is filed under the name Phycisphaerales bacterium. RNAcentral describes it as "tRNA-Ser". It matches the Rfam family "tRNA". Rfam says of the family: Transfer RNA (tRNA) molecules are approximately 80 nucleotides in length. Their secondary structure includes four short double-helical elements and three loops (D, anti-codon, and T loops). Lineage: Bacteria; Pseudomonadati; Planctomycetota; Phycisphaerae; Phycisphaerales. The record is from RNAcentral.
GGUGGGGUGGCAGAGUGGUCGAAUGCGCCGGUCUUGAAAACCGGUAUGGGCGUCAGCCCAUCAGGGGUUCGAAUCCCCUCCCCACCG